This 1207-nucleotide long non-coding RNA is filed under the name Bos indicus x Bos taurus (hybrid cattle). RNAcentral describes it as "lncRNA (ENSBIXG00005020804.1)". Lineage: Eukaryota; Metazoa; Chordata; Mammalia; Artiodactyla; Bovidae. The record is from RNAcentral.
AUGUUUUUAGGAAGAGCUUGCUUGUGCUCCAGUAUGACAGAGUCCAGAACUCUUUUGCUUCCCACUAUAGAUGCCCUUGAAUUUUCACUGGAAGCGCUGAAGCUGAAGCUGAAGCUCCAGUACUUUGGCCACCUGCUGCAGAGAGCUGACUCACUGGAGAAGACCCUGAUGCUGGGCAAGAUUGAGGGUAGGAGGAGAAGAGGGUAACAGAGAAUGAGAUGGUUGGAUGGCAUCAUCAACUCAAUGAACAUGAGUUUGAGCAAGCUCCAGGACAUAGUGAAGGACGGGGAAGCCUGGCAUGCUUCAAUCUAUGGGGUCGCAAAGAGUUGGACAUGACUGAGCAACUGAACAGCCAACAACAUAGCUGCCCCAGCCCUUGCCCCAGAAAGGUGCAUAGUGCUGCCUGAUGACGGUGCCUGAAGGAGAGACAGAAGGCGUGCUACUUACUCUGCUUAUACACUUAGGAAAGCAUCACUUUCUAUCUGAGCAGUGGUUUCCACUUGACAUUAUAAUGAAAUCCCUAUAAGACUAUUCCUAGAAGAUGCUAAAGCAGGAUGAGGCAGUGACCCAAAGUGAAAGCUCAGGUUGAAAGGGGUCAGGACAGUCACCGAGAGUGCCAUUCAAGUGCCUCCAGCAGGAUAUUCUAAAAAGAGUCUCACAGCCCACCUCCAGCUGGGAAACAUUUCUAGAAAGGAGGGAAAAGUGUCCUUUUAAAAACAAGGUAUUUAAUGCCCUUUUGGGUUUGGAGCGGCACUGGGUUCGGCUCCCUGUAGCGAGGAGGUUUCUUCAUGCUAGAGCUCCCAGUAUGUUCUGCAAGGAAAGAAUGGACAUGUGGCCUCAGCUUCUGGUGUCUAUUUUUAUGCCCUGGUUGUGUGUAGGGGAAAAUGGAAAUAUAUUUUCAGUAUGUGUGUUUUUCCCCUGGUGUCUGCUGACUCCCACGGAAGCUGUAAAUCCCCAAAUCCAAACAUAAGAAGUCCAUGUCAGGAGGCAAUGACCCACCACUUUGGACUCCAUUCAACAUCUACCCAAAGAAUAUCCUUGGCAAAGAGCAGUGACAGCAUAAUAGUGGUAAAAAUAGCAAUCAUGCUCUCAGUUGUCAACUAAAUAUAACUCCUAAUGGCUAAAGUUCUAUAAACUAAUCAAUUUUUUUGUUCUAACAAAAUAGUUUGAAAAUCAAUGUUACCUUGGACACACAAAUUCAGUAUGA